RNAcentral lists this ribosomal RNA (253 nucleotides) under uncultured bacterium. Its description in RNAcentral is "partial 16S ribosomal RNA". It matches the Rfam family "Bacterial small subunit ribosomal RNA", at positions 524 to 776 of the family's 1533-position model. The record is from RNAcentral.
UACGUAGGGCGCAAGCGUUGUCCGGAAUUAUUGGGCGUAAAGAGCUCGUAGGCGGCCUGUUACGUCUGCUGUGAAAUCCCGGGGCUUAACCCCGGGCGUGCAGUGGAUACGGGCAGGCUGGAGGCAGGCAGGGGAGAACGGAAUUCCCGGUGUAGCGGUGAAAUGCGCAGAUAUCGGGAGGAACACCGGUGGCGAAGGCGGUUCUCUGGGCCUGUACUGACGCUGAGGAGCAAAAGCGUGGGGAGCAAACAGG